This 342-nucleotide long non-coding RNA is filed under the name Vitis vinifera (wine grape). Its description in RNAcentral is "long non-coding RNA (VVIN_LNC006814)". Lineage: Eukaryota; Viridiplantae; Streptophyta; Magnoliopsida; Vitales; Vitaceae. The record is from RNAcentral.
GGCCCUACGAGCCAUGCAAACACGCAAGUCAUACAAGUCACACUAAAAAAAAUCUUAAUAGACCCAGUAUACCUAAACGGGCCUAAGGUGAGACUAAGUGGGCCUAAGGUGGUGCCUAAUGGGCCAAGUGCAUCUCAAAACUAUCCUAGAAAUGAAUGAAAAGCCUAAUUCUAAAUUAGGGCUGCCAAAGGUCACAAUAAGGGAUCAAAUAAUCCCUCAACCAAAGUCUCCGAGGUGACCUAGAAAAAGGUAAGUCGUACGAGUAGUAAUGGGCCACCAAGGAACUACCGUGGAGCACCGGAAGUGAAUUUAAAGACAUGUGCUAAAGGGACAAAAUUGAGG